RNAcentral lists this ribosomal RNA (324 nucleotides) under uncultured eukaryote. Its description in RNAcentral is "partial 18S ribosomal RNA". It matches the Rfam family "Eukaryotic small subunit ribosomal RNA", at positions 1470 to 1796 of the family's 1831-position model. The record is from RNAcentral.
CCCUUAGAUGUUCUGGGCUGCACGCGCGCUACACUGAUGCGAUCAACAAGUUUUUCCUAUGUCGAUAGACACGGGUAAUCUUUUGAACUCGCAUCGUGAUGGGGAUAGAUUAUUGUAAUUAUUAAUCUUCAACGAGGAGUUCCUAGUAGGUGCAAAUCAUCAGUUUGCAUCGAUUACGUCCCUGCCCUUUGUACACACCGCCCGUCGCUGCUACCGAUUGGUUGAUCUGGUGAAUUAUUCGGACUGCCGGCUGAAGGGGUUUCCUCAUCUGCCAGCGGAAAGUCUUGUUAACCCUAUCAACUAGAGGAAGCAGAAGUCGUAACA